CGGCAACAGCUCAAAUUUGAAAUCUGGCUCCUUCGGGGCCCGAGUUGUAAUUUGCAGAGGAUGCGUCGGGUACGGGUGCCUUCCGAGUUCCCUGGAACGGGACGCCAUAGAGGGUGAGAGCCCCGUCUGGUAGGACACCCAGCCCGUGUGACGCUCCCUCGAC
RNAcentral lists this ribosomal RNA (163 nucleotides) under Acremonium sp. RNAcentral's name for it is "partial large subunit ribosomal RNA". It matches the Rfam family "Eukaryotic large subunit ribosomal RNA", at positions 99 to 261 of the family's 3401-position model. The record is from RNAcentral. Lineage: Eukaryota; Fungi; Ascomycota; Sordariomycetes; Hypocreales; Bionectriaceae.